GCCAUUCCGCCAUUCCCCACAAUAUUUCCCUAGAUAAGACCUUCUCUCACUUUAUCCCUUUUCCCCAUCUUCCUCACAACACACACUUUAUCCCUUUUCCCCCAAUUCCCUCACGUGCCCACACUCACUUUUCACUACUCACCUUUGGUACACUCACGAAUUAUUCCAGAUAAUUAUUUCCUCAUAACCCAUACUCUCACUCUUCCUCCUUAACAACUCACAAUUCCACUCUUCCUCUUUAACAACUCCACUCCCACUCUCUCUUGCUUAUAUAAAAAGAUUCUAUCAGACACAUAUUGGGGGAGAUCUUUUACGGAUUCUAAAAGAACACAAAAACUUGAGAACGUGAAGUGAGUUUCUUGAGAGCAAAAUCUUCCAGAAAUACAUAGUCCUUGAAGUCAUUUUUGAUCUUUUCCUUCUUCGAAAGUUGCUGUGUUUCUAGGUUUCAUCACUGCUGGGUUUUCACUAUUUUCUUAUUGUUGUUGCUGUUCCGUUUUGGCUGGAGUCUCGUUUGCUAGUUCAGUAUCUUGCUUUUUUUUUUCUUCUAUUUUCUGCAAACUAGGUAUUUUUCCAACUCUGUAAUUUAGUUCUUAGUUGCAUAAAGCUAUUGCAAUGAAUGUGUUGAUGUGUUAUUACUGUUUCUUUACAGUUGUGUGAUCUUCUGCUCAUAUAUGAGUGUUCAAACUUCAUGAAACAUGCGUUCUCUUUUCUUUGAAGUUUCAACUUCUUCUAACUUCUUCGUAAGUUAAAAGUUGUAUAUGAUUUGUUUAGUUGCUAAGAGUUUGUGCUGGUAUAUCUAACUCUUAUAAUGGUAUAACUUAGUUUAAAGAACAAGUGAUGUAAGAUAGAUUUAGAUAGAUUUUAAAUCUUCUGUUAGUUAUAGCUUAGAGUAGAUGUUUGUGUUAAGUUUAAAACUCAUCAGUGAAACAUACUUGGUGUUUUGAGAUACCUUGUUACAUAAAGAGAAUGUUAGCUUCUUUUGUUCUUUCUUUAGUUUAAAUAGAAGGUGCACGUUAAACGUUUUUCUCUCUUUUUUUUUAUUAGUUUCUCUAAGUGGUCCUAAGUAGAAAAGAGUGUUUGAAGAUAAAAGAGGACUAUGUGUGAAUACUGGAAAGUUUAUUGCUAUUUUGAGAAUUAAAAUAUUGAGUCUUAGACAUCAUGUUUGUCCUUAUUUUUAAAGUUGGAAAUCUCAGUCAUUUGGGUCAAGGUGAAUAAAUUCAUGUGACUAGAAAUUGAUCAUUUAUGUUUAAGUCAUUGGAUCAUUUAUUUGGAAUUAAAAGAAAUCAGAUAAUCAAUUAUAUUUCAUUUCUUGUCCUUUUUUAAGUUUGCUAUAUUUUUUGUCAAUAAAAUACAUGUGGAUAUUAUUGUUAGUGUUUGUGAGUUUUAAACUUUGAUAUUAGAUUGAAAGAGAGGUUGAGGUUUGUUUUUAGUUUAAUUUUAAAAAAAUGCAAAUAGAUAAAAUAAGAUUGGAUAGUGGUUUUGCAAAGUAGAAAAGAAAGGAUUUUUGGGCUGAAAUACUAGGCCCAACGUGAUUAAGUCCAAACUAUUUUAAUAGAUGGUUCAUUUCUCUUUAGUAAUUUCAGCACGCCCAUAUCUUCUUAAUAAGUAAUUUCCAACAGCCCAAUACCAAGUAUGUUUCAAUAGAUGACCCAUUUUGCACCUGCUAACAAGGCUGGUCUAACUUUCAACACCAUGGCUGUCUCACAAUUAAUUUCCAAUAAAAACAAGUUUCUCCUCUACAAAUUAAAUUAAUUUAAUCGGCUUCUUAAUUAAUUAAUUUAAACGCUAGGCAGUGGUAGGUGCGCUUUAACUUCACGGAAUCGCUUGCGUAGCGUGAUAUUUAAUAUUCAAUAAAUUAAUUCAACAAUGUCAUACCAUGCUCAUUAGUUUUGAUUAAUUUUAAUUUAAUUAAUCUUUUGCUAAACUCGCGGAUUUGCUUGCGUAACGCGAUAGUUGACUUUUGAUAGUUUUCAAAAAUUAAUUUUCUCAAAAUGUAGUAAUUUCUCAAAAGUACUAUAAAUAAUUGAUUGUCAUAAUUUCAUAUUUGCUUGCGAGGCGCAAUUAUGAUAAGUUAAUUAAUUUUGUUUUCGAUCACGCAUUCUCUUGCGUAGCGUCGUUAUAAAAAUGUAGUAUUAUCCAAAUCAUUUUUUAUAAUUCUAAUAAUCAAGAAAUAAAAGCGGAUAGAUAAAAUAUGAAAAUCAAUAAAACACAGUUUAUCCAAAAAUAAUAUAAGCCAAAUAUAGUCAAUAAAGCGACCAUGCUAGAACCACGGAACUCGGGAAAUAUUUUACACCUUCUCCCCGAUCAACAGAAUUCCUUACCCGGACUUUAUUUUCGUAGACCAAUAAUAAUAGAGUCAAACCUUUCUUUGACUAGGGAUUCAAAUAAAAGGUGACUUGGAACACCAAAAAACUCAAUUCCAAGUGGCGACUCUAUAAAUAAAAUAAUUCACACUCAAGUUUGUCACUUUAAUUGAAAAAAUUCUUUAACCCCACAAUCCACAUAAAACACACAUCUUUUUGGGGGUAGAAAAAGGGUGUGACAGCUAUGGAGACUCCGAUGGAGACCUUCAAGAAUUCGAGCUUGUACAUUGACUUUAUUAAUUUUUGUAUAUACUGUGAUUUAUUUUUGGCCUAAUGUGCUACUUUCCCGCUUUUUACCGCUUUGAUAUUGUUGAACUGUCCAUAUAAACUGUCUUCUCUCGCACUCCUCUGAGUCCUUUUGAAAUUAAAUUUGGCAUUUGCUUGACAUAACCCUCUUUAUUUGAGACAGCCGAGGUGCUUGCCACCUGGUGAAGGAUUUUAGGCGCACAUGUUUUAGGCGGGGGGCACCACCAGC
RNAcentral lists this long non-coding RNA (2838 nucleotides) under Nicotiana tabacum (common tobacco). RNAcentral's name for it is "long non-coding RNA (NTAB_LNC006905)". Lineage: Eukaryota; Viridiplantae; Streptophyta; Magnoliopsida; Solanales; Solanaceae. The record is from RNAcentral.